AGUGAACGCUGGCGGUAGGCCUAACACAUGCAAGUCGAACGGCAGCACAGUAAGAGCUUGCUCUUACGGGUGGCGAGUGGCGGACGGGUGAGGAAUACAUCGGAAUCUACUUUUUCGUGGGGGAUAACGUAGGGAAACUUACGCUAAUACCGCAUACGACCUACGGGUGACAGCAGGGGAUCUUCGGACCUUGCGCGAUUGAAUGAGCCGAUGUCGGAUUAGCUAGUUGGCGGGGUAAAGGCCCACCAAGGCGACGAUCCGUAGCUGGUCUGAGAGGAUGAUCAGCCACACUGGAACUGAGACACGGUCCAGACUCCUACGGGAGGCAGCAGUGGGGAAUAUUGGACAAUGGGCGCAAGCCUGAGCCAGCCAUACCGCGUGGGUGAAGAAGGCCUUCGGGUUGUAAAGCCCUUUUGUUGGGAAAGAAAAGCAGCAGGUUAAUACCCCGCUGUUCUGACGGUACCCAAAGAAUAAGCACCGGCUAACUUCGUG
This 492-nucleotide ribosomal RNA is filed under the name uncultured bacterium. Its description in RNAcentral is "partial 16S ribosomal RNA". It matches the Rfam family "Bacterial small subunit ribosomal RNA", at positions 29 to 507 of the family's 1533-position model. The record is from RNAcentral.